RNAcentral lists this ribosomal RNA (253 nucleotides) under uncultured bacterium. Its description in RNAcentral is "partial 16S ribosomal RNA". It matches the Rfam family "Bacterial small subunit ribosomal RNA", at positions 524 to 776 of the family's 1533-position model. The record is from RNAcentral.
UACGGAGGGUGCAAGCGUUGCUCGGAAUCACUGGGCGUAAAGGGCGUGUAGGCGGUCUCGUAUGUCUGACGUGAAAGCCCCGGGCUCAACCCGGGAAGUGCGUUGGAAACUGCGAGACUAGAGUCUCGGAGAGGAAGGUGGAAUUCCAGGUGUAGCGGUGAAAUGCGUAGAUAUCUGGAGGAACACCUAUAGCGAAGGCAGCUUGCUGGGACGUUACUGACGCUAAGGCGCGAAAGCGUGGGGAGCGAACAGG